AUGGUGAAUGGGUUCAUCUAUUGGAUACAAGCAAAUGAAGCCGGCUUGCUUGUGGUGAACACCGCAACGCUACAUUUCUCUCGGAUGGAUCUGCCACCAUUCUUGGAAGGGAAAAUUCACCUUGUGUGGCCUGGCGAGGCCAAGGAUGGGAGGCUUUGCAUCGUUUGCCCAGUUGACUUUGGUGUCCAUGUUUGGUUCUGGAGAGCCGAUGAGGACGGCUUGGAGAGAUGGAUGCUAGACAAGAAGUUUCAGUUAGAGUUAAAGUCGAUUGUUGAGGCCACUGGGCGUUCACUAGAAGAUGUUGAGCUGCAUAUCGUGGAUACUGUCGAUGGGUUUGUGUACUUUUCUACCGGUGAAACGUUCCAUAAUGUUCACGCUCCUUCGUGGUUCCUGUCUUUAUGCAUGGAGACGGCGAAGCUGGACAAGCUCUUUCAGAAGAGAUGUGACAGCCAUGUCCGGCCCUACAUCAUGGCAUGGCCUCCCUCUUUGGUAAAUAAUAAGUUGUGCCCUCUACUUGAAGGAGAAGGUGCUUGA
This 534-nucleotide ribosomal RNA is filed under the name Triticum aestivum (bread wheat). RNAcentral's name for it is "partial small subunit ribosomal RNA". Lineage: Eukaryota; Viridiplantae; Streptophyta; Magnoliopsida; Poales; Poaceae. The record is from RNAcentral.